GAUGAACGCUGGCGGCGUGCCUAAUACAUGCAAGUCGAGCGAAUGGAUUAAGAGCUUGCUCUUAUGAAGUUAGCGGCGGACGGGUGAGUAACACGUGGGUAACCUGCCCAUAAGACUGGGAUAACUCCGGGAAACCGGGGCUAAUACCGGAUAACAUUUUGAACCGCAUGGUUCGAAAUUGAAAGGCGGCUUCGGCUGUCACUUAUGGAUGGACCCGGGUCGCAUUAGCUAGUUGGUGAGGUAACGGCUAACCAAGGCAACGAUGCGUAGCCGACCUGAGAGGGUGAUCGGCCACACUGGGACUGAGACACGGCCCAGACUCCUACGGGAGGCAGCAGUAGGGAAUCUUCCGCAAUGGACGAAGGUCUGACGGAGCAACGCCGCGUGAGUGAUGAAGGCUUUCGGGUCGUAAAACUCUGUUGUUAGGGAAGAACAAGUGCUAGUUGAAUAAGCUAGCACCUUGACGGUACCUAACCAGAAAGCCACGGCUAACUACGUGCCAGCCGCCGCCGUAA
This 515-nucleotide ribosomal RNA is filed under the name uncultured bacterium. RNAcentral's name for it is "partial 16S ribosomal RNA". It matches the Rfam family "Bacterial small subunit ribosomal RNA", at positions 28 to 523 of the family's 1533-position model. The record is from RNAcentral.